RNAcentral lists this non-coding RNA (24 nucleotides) under Arabidopsis thaliana (thale cress). Lineage: Eukaryota; Viridiplantae; Streptophyta; Magnoliopsida; Brassicales; Brassicaceae. RNAcentral also lists the same sequence under 1 other name. The record is from RNAcentral.
GCAACGGAUAUCUCGGCUCUCGCA